AUUGAACGCUGGCGGCAGGCCUAACACAUGCAAGUCGAGCGGAGCGGCGGACGGGGGAGUAAUGCCUCGGAAUCUGCCUGGUAGUGGGGGAUAAAGUACGGAAACGGGCGCUACUACCGCAUACUAUCCGGGGAGACUAGGUCGGAUUAGCUAGUUGGUGGGGGAAAGGCCUACCAAGGCGACGCUCCGUCACUGGUCUGAGAGGAUGAGCAGUGACUCUGUAACUGAGACACGGUCCACCCUCCUACGGGAGGCAGCAGUGGGGAAUAUGGGACGAGGGGCGAAAGCCUGAUCCAGCCAUGCCGCGUGUGGGAAGAAGGUCUGCGGAUUGUAAAGCACGUUAAGUUGGGAGGCGUUACCAACAGAAUAAGCACCGGCUAACUUCGUGCCAGCAGCCGCGGUAAUAC
Molecule: ribosomal RNA, 407 nt
Filed under: uncultured bacterium
Lineage: Bacteria
Description: partial 16S ribosomal RNA
Rfam family: Bacterial small subunit ribosomal RNA
Source: RNAcentral